Molecule: ribosomal RNA, 348 nt
Filed under: uncultured Sphingobacteriales bacterium
Lineage: Bacteria; Pseudomonadati; Bacteroidota; Sphingobacteriia; Sphingobacteriales
Description: bacterial SSU rRNA
Rfam family: Bacterial small subunit ribosomal RNA
Source: RNAcentral
UGCAAGGUGCUGCAUGGGUUGUCGUCAGCUCGUGCCGUGAGGUGUCGGGUUAAGUCCCAUAACGAGCGCAACCCUUAUCGUUAGUUGCCAUCUGGUAAUGCAGGGGACUCUAGCGAAACUGCCACCGUAAGGUGAGAGGAAGUGGGAUGAUGUCAAAUCAGCAGGCCCUUAUGUCCAGGGCUACACACGUGUUACAAUGGUCGGUACAGAGGGCAGCUACCUGGUGACAGGAUGCUAAUCUCGAAAACCGGUCUCAGUUCGGAUCGAAGUCUGCAACUCGACUUCGUGAAGCUGGAAUCUGUAGUAAUCGUGUCUCAAAAUGGCACGGUGAAUAUGUCCCUGCUCCUU